RNAcentral lists this non-coding RNA (23 nucleotides) under Rattus norvegicus (Norway rat). Lineage: Eukaryota; Metazoa; Chordata; Mammalia; Rodentia; Muridae. The record is from RNAcentral.
CAGAACAAUAAUGUGCACAGCUA